RNAcentral lists this ribosomal RNA (255 nucleotides) under uncultured Gardnerella sp. RNAcentral's name for it is "partial 16S ribosomal RNA". It matches the Rfam family "Bacterial small subunit ribosomal RNA", at positions 99 to 355 of the family's 1533-position model. Lineage: Bacteria; Bacillati; Actinomycetota; Actinomycetes; Bifidobacteriales; Bifidobacteriaceae. The record is from RNAcentral.
CGAACGGGUGAGUAAUGCGUGACCAACCUGCCCCAUGCUCCAGAAUAGCUCUUGGAAACGGGUGGUAAUGCUGGAUGCUCCAACUUGACGCAUGUCUUGUUGGGAAAGUGUUUAGUGGCAUGGGAUGGGGUCGCGUCCUAUCAGCUUGUAGGCGGGGUAAUGGCCCACCUAGGCUUCGACGGGUAGCCGGCCUGAGAGGGCGGACGGCCACAUUGGGACUGAGAUACGGCCCAGACUCCUACGGGAGGCAGCGGC